RNAcentral lists this ribosomal RNA (263 nucleotides) under uncultured bacterium. RNAcentral describes it as "partial 16S ribosomal RNA". It matches the Rfam family "Bacterial small subunit ribosomal RNA", at positions 89 to 354 of the family's 1533-position model. The record is from RNAcentral.
UGGCGACCGGCGCACGGGUGAGUAACACGUAUGCAACCUGCCCGUCUCAGGGGGAUAAUCGUCGGAAACGGCGUCUAAUACCCCGUAUGAAGCUGGACGGCAUCGUCUGGUUUUGAAAGAAUAUCGGAGACGGAUGGGCAUGCGGCGCAUUAGCUAGUUGGCGGGGUAACGGCCCACCAAGGCGACGAUGCGUAGGGGUUCUGAGAGGAAGGUCCCCCACACUGGUACUGAGACACGGACCAGACUCCUACGGGAGGCAGCAG